GACGAACGCUGGCGGCGUGCCUAAUACAUGCAAGUCGAACGCACAGUUUAUACCGUAGCUUGCUACACCAUAGACUGUGAGUUGCGAACGGGUGAGUAACGCGUAGGUAACCUGCCUGGUAGCGGGGGAUAACUAUUGGAAACGAUAGCUAAUACCGCAUAAUAUUGAUUAUUGCAUGAUAAUUGAUUGAAAGAUGCUAUUGCAUCACUACCAGAUGGACCUGCGUUGUAUUAGCUAGUAGGUGAGGUAACGGCUCACCUAGGCGACGAUACAUAGCCGACCUGAGAGGGUGAUCGGCCACACUGGGACUGAGACACGGCCCAGACUCCUACGGGAGGCAGCAGUAGGGAAUCUUCGGCAAUGGACGAAAGUCUGACCGAGCAACGCCGCGUGAGUGAAGAAGGGUUUCGGAUCGUAAAGCUCUGUUGUAAGAGAAGAACGGGUGUGAGAGUGGAAAGUUCACACUGUGACGGUAUCUUACCAGAAAGAGACGGCUAACUACGUG
Molecule: ribosomal RNA, 505 nt
Filed under: uncultured bacterium
Lineage: Bacteria
Description: partial 16S ribosomal RNA
Rfam family: Bacterial small subunit ribosomal RNA
Source: RNAcentral